UAAAAUGGCAUAUGUUAUUACCAUAUUUCAACUUUAUCUUCUUUCAGGCCAACUCUAUAGUUGUUUAUAUUUUAGUCUAGAGAAUUGUCAUACAGGAUGUAAAACUUGUAUUUCUGGCUGUAAGAUUUUGU
This is a long non-coding RNA of Octopus sinensis (East Asian common octopus), 131 nucleotides long. RefSeq lists it as uncharacterized. Lineage: Eukaryota; Metazoa; Mollusca; Cephalopoda; Octopoda; Octopodidae. The transcript is spliced from 3 exons. The record is from RefSeq and is a predicted model, not a curated record.